This 1227-nucleotide ribosomal RNA is filed under the name metagenome. RNAcentral describes it as "bacterial LSU rRNA". It matches the Rfam family "Bacterial large subunit ribosomal RNA", at positions 1564 to 2800 of the family's 2925-position model. The record is from RNAcentral.
UGAGUACGAGCUGCUACGGCAGCGAAGUGGAUGAUGUCAAGCUUCCAAGAAAAGCCCUAUACCCGUUAAGGCAUGACGGCCUGUACCCGAAACCGACGCAGGUGGGGUGGUAGAGAAUACCGAGGGGCGCGAGAUAACUCUCUCUAAGGAACUCGGCAAAAUGGCCCCGUAACAUCGGGAGAAGGGGUGCCACCGCGAGGUGGUCGCAGUGAAGAGGCCCAGGCGACUGUUUACCAAAAACACAGGUCUCCGCUAAGUCGCAAGACGAUGUAUGGGGGCUGACGCCUGCCCAGUGCCGGAAGGUUAAGGAAGCCGGUCAGCGUAAGCGAAGCUGGCGACUGAAGCCCCGGUGAACGGCGGCCGUAACUAUAACGGUCCUAAGGUAGCGAAAUUCCUUGUCGGGUAAGUUCCGACCCGCACGAAAGGCGUAACGAUCUGGGCGCUGUCUCGGAGAGAGGCUCGGCGAAAUAGAAUUGUCUGUGAAGAUGCGGACUACGUGCACCCGGACAGAAAGACCCUAUGAAGCUUUACUGUAGCUUGGUAUUGUGCUCGGGCUCUGAAUGCGCAGGAUAGGUGGGAGGCUUUGAUCCAUUGCUUGUGGGUGAUGGUGAGCCACUGGUGAGAUACCACUCUUUCAGAGCUAGGGUUCUAACGGUCACCCGUUAUCCGGGGACCGGACAGUAUCAGGUGGGCAGUUUGACUGGGGUGUCGCCUCCUAAAAGGUAACGGAGGCGCGCAAAGGUUCCCUCAGGCUGGUUGGAAAUCAGCCGACGAGUGCAAAGGCAGAAGGGAGCUUGACUGUGAGACCAACAAGUCGAACAGGGACGAAAGUCGGCCUUAGUGAUCCGACGGUUCUGAGUGGAAGGGCCGUCGCUCAACGGAUAAAAGUUACUCUAAGGAUAACAGGCUGAUCACCCCCAAGAGUUCACAUCGACGGGGAGGUUUGGCACCUCGAUGUCGGCUCAUCGCAACCUGGGGCUGAAGUCGGUCCCAAGGGUUGGGCUGUUCGCCCAUUAAAGCGGUACGCGAGCUGGGUUCAGAACGUCGUGAGACAGUUCGGUCCAUAUCCGGUGCAUGCGCAGGAACAUUGAGAGGAUUUCUCCCUAGUACGAGAGGACCGGGAGGAACGCACCUCUGGUGUACCAGUUAUCGUGCCAACGGUAAACGCUGGGUAGCCAUGUGCGGAGCGGAUAACCGCUGAAAGCAUCUAAGUGGGAAGCCCACCUC